Molecule: non-coding RNA, 186 nt
Filed under: Ruminococcus sp.
Lineage: Bacteria; Bacillati; Bacillota; Clostridia; Eubacteriales; Oscillospiraceae
Source: RNAcentral
UGCCGGAGACUUUUUAUAAGCUUUGGAAAUGCUGCUAGAGGGAACCAGGGUAAGAGCCUGGACGGUUGCGGCCACUGUAAGCAGGAAGGUGUACUUCAAAAUGCCAUUGCAUACCUAUAUGCGAGAAGGCGGGGAACACCAUUAUAACCUGUAAGUCAGGAAACCUGCUUGGCAAAGUAAGAAGGA